This 916-nucleotide ribosomal RNA is filed under the name uncultured bacterium. Its description in RNAcentral is "bacterial SSU rRNA". It matches the Rfam family "Bacterial small subunit ribosomal RNA", at positions 246 to 1155 of the family's 1533-position model. The record is from RNAcentral.
UUGUUGGUAAGGUAAAAGCUUACCAAGGCUUCGAUCAGUAGCUGGUCUGAGAGGACGACCAGCCACACUGGGACUGAGACACGGCCCAGACUCCUACGGGAGGCAGCAGUGGGGAAUUUUGGGCAAUGGGGGCAACCCUGAUCCAGCCAUGCCGCGUGAGUGAAGAAGGCCUUCGGGUUGUAAAGCUCUUUCAGCCGGAACGAAACGGUUACGGUUAACACCCGUGACUACUGACGGUACCGGAAGAAGAAGCACCGGCUAACUACGUGCCAGCAGCCGCGGUAAUACGUAGGGUGCGAGCGUUAAUCGGAAUUACUGGGCGUAAAGCGUGCGCAGGUGGUUUUGUAAGUCAGAUGUGAAAGCCCCGGGCUCAACCUGGGAACUGCGUUUGAAACUACAAGACUAGAGUGUGGCAGAGGGGGGUGGAAUUCCGCGUGUAGCAGUGAAAUGCGUAGAGAUGUGGAGGAACACCGAUGGCGAAGGCAGCCCCCUGGGUCAACACUGACGCUCAGGCACGAAAGCAUGGGGAGCAAACAGGAUUAGAUACCCUGGUAGUCCAUGCCCUAAACGAUGUCAACUAGUUGUCGGGCCUUUACGGGCUUGGUAACGUAGCUAACGCGUGAAGUUGACCGCCUGGGGAGUACGAUCGCAAGAUUAAAACUCAAAUGAAUUGACGGGGACCCGCACAAGCGGUGGAUUAUGUGGAUUAAUUCGAUGCAACGCGAAAAACCUUACCUACCCUUGACAUGUAUCGAAGCCCGCAGAAAAGCGGGGGUGCCCGAAAGGGAACGAUAACACAGGUGCUGCAUGGCUGUCGUCAGCUCGUGUCGUGAGAUGUUGGGUUAAGUCCCGCAACGAGCGCAACCCUUGUCAUUAAUUGCCAUCAUUUAGUUGGGCACUUUAAUGAGACUGCCGG